Molecule: unclassified non-coding RNA, 241 nt
Filed under: uncultured Helotiales
Lineage: Eukaryota; Fungi; Ascomycota; Leotiomycetes; Helotiales
Description: sequence contains ITS2
Rfam family: 5.8S ribosomal RNA (bases 1-52)
Source: RNAcentral
AACGCACAUUGCGCCCUCUGGUAUUCCGGGGGGCAUGCCUGUUCGAGCGUCAUUAUAACCACUCAAGCUCUCGCUUGGUAUUGGGGCUCGCGGUUCCGCGGCCCCUAAAAUCAGUGGCGGUGCCUGUCGGCUCUACGCGUAGUAAUACUCCUCGCGAUUGAGUCCGGUAGGUCUACUUGCCAGCAAACCCCAAUUUUUACAGGUUGACCUCGGAUCAGGUAGGGAUACCCGCUGAACUUAA